UACGAAGGGGGCUAGCGUUGUUCGGAUUUACUGGGCGUAAAGCGCACGUAGGCGGAUUGGUCAGUUAGGGGUGAAAUCCCGAGGCUCAACCUCGGAACUGCCUUUAAUACUGCCAGUCUAGAGUCCGAGAGAGGUGGGUGGAACUCCUAGUGUAGAGGUGGAAUUCGUAGAUAUUAGGAAGAACACCAGUGGCGAAGGCGGCUCACUGGCUCGGUACUGACGCUGAGGUGCGAAAGCGUAGGUAGCGAACAGG
This 253-nucleotide unclassified non-coding RNA is filed under the name uncultured Alphaproteobacteria bacterium. RNAcentral's name for it is "contains 16S-23S intergenic spacer region". It matches the Rfam family "Bacterial small subunit ribosomal RNA", at positions 524 to 776 of the family's 1533-position model. Lineage: Bacteria; Pseudomonadati; Pseudomonadota; Alphaproteobacteria. The record is from RNAcentral.